Molecule: long non-coding RNA, 576 nt
Filed under: Vulpes vulpes (red fox)
Lineage: Eukaryota; Metazoa; Chordata; Mammalia; Carnivora; Canidae
Description: lncRNA (ENSVVUG00000029295.1)
Source: RNAcentral
AUGCCUGAAAUGGAGGUUCAGAAUUCUGUUUCAUCACAAAGGUUUUAUGACAAUUCCCAGGAAAUCAGUGAACAAGGAAAUAAAAUUCAAGGUUGCGGCUGCCUUGGAUGUGAGGCUGUCUGCAUCUCAGGAGAUACAACCUGUAAUCCUCUGUGGGCAGAACUCUACAGUUUACGUGGUGGAUCAUUAUGUUUGUCUCAUAACCCCAUCCUCCCACCCCAGAUGGAUAACCAGCUUGCUAAGCACCAUUUAUUAUCCCAACACCAUCUUUUCUCCCAGUUCCCUAUGUCUAGACUAUUCAGAUCUGUUGAUCUGUCUACUUCUGGGCCAAUACCAAACUUUAAUGAGCAGAGCUUUCUUUUACUGCCUGAUAAGCGACCCAGCCCCUCUGCACCCCAGGAUGAGCCCCACAGAAGCUCCUGUUCGAAAGUUGGUUGCUGCAGGAAACCAAGACCAGAGUCAGAAGCAAGAGUUAUGAAAGAUGAAAGCAGUGUGUGCGUCUUUAAGAGAAGACGUCCAUCAGAGGGCUUCCUGGAGCUCGAGGUCCACCCAAUCCUCCUGCAUAUCAACACAUAA